Molecule: long non-coding RNA, 235 nt
Filed under: Solanum tuberosum (potato)
Lineage: Eukaryota; Viridiplantae; Streptophyta; Magnoliopsida; Solanales; Solanaceae
Description: long non-coding RNA (STUB_LNC003598)
Source: RNAcentral
AAUUUUGAAAAAAUUACUUUCCUUUAACAACUAAAGAGCAAAAUCAGUAGACAAAUUCUUACCUAAAUUAAUCACACAGUCACCAAAUACGAAUCAAGUAAGAAUUUAGUCAAAUUCUACCAAAUAAGCAAUACCUUACCAAAAUUAACAUGUCAAAAUAUGUCUACAAAUAAAUAAGACAAACAUUAUUAAUUAAAAUUAACAAUCAAUAUUGCAAAUCAUCGGGCAAAAGACG